CCUACGGGAGGUAGCAGUGAGGAAUAUUGGUCAAUGGGCGAGAGCCUGAACCAGCCAAGUCGCGUGAGGGAGUACUGCCCUAUGGGUUGUAAACCUCUUUUGUCGGGGAGCAAAAGCCGGACGUGUCCGGCUGUGAGAGUACCCGAAGAAAAAGCAUCGGCUAACUCCGUGCCAGCAGCCGCGGUAAUACGGAGGAUGCGAGCGUUAUCCGGAUUUAUUGGGUUUAAAGGGUGCGCAGGCGGAUUUUUAAGUCAGCGGUAAAAUCGUGGGGCUCAACCCCAUCCAGCCGUUGAAACUGGGGAUCUAGAGUGUGCGAGAGGUAUGCGGAAUGCGUGGUGUAGCGGUGAAAUGCAUAGAUAUCACGCAGAACCCCGAUUGCGAAGGCAGCAUACCGGUGCACAACUGACGCUCAGGCACGAAAGCGUGGGUAUCGAACAGGAUUAGAUACCCUGGUAGUC
RNAcentral lists this ribosomal RNA (458 nucleotides) under uncultured bacterium. RNAcentral describes it as "partial 16S ribosomal RNA". It matches the Rfam family "Bacterial small subunit ribosomal RNA", at positions 338 to 795 of the family's 1533-position model. The record is from RNAcentral.